RNAcentral lists this long non-coding RNA (2256 nucleotides) under Homo sapiens (human). Its description in RNAcentral is "PREDICTED lncRNA (TCONS_00069871)". The record is from RNAcentral. Lineage: Eukaryota; Metazoa; Chordata; Mammalia; Primates; Hominidae.
CCAUAAUAAUAAAUUUUUUAGCUACCAUUACCUACACGCACAUGGCCUUGACAUCAUUUAUAAUUCAAAGACCUGGAAUGUGGUGUCUGAGUGAGACUUCGUUAGUCAGAAAAAUCCACCAGAUUUAUGUGAAAAUCCAGAAAGAAAAGGCAACACCAUGGCUCACUGCACCAUUUCCACUCACGUUCUUUCUUGUGAGACCAGCUUCCUCUAGUGACAGAUUUCAGGGCGUUUUCAAAGGAUCCCAAUGCCCCAAGGGAAAAGAAGAGGCAGUAUCCAUUCUGAAGAUGACAUAAACCAUUGCUAACUGUGUCUUCAUCAUGUAUUUCUUUAUUUCAAGCUCAUGACACUGUCUCACGCUUAAUACGGUGUUUAACACAAUGGUCCUCAAGUUUUCCUGCGUAUUAGAAUCACCUAGGGAGUUUUAAAGCCUUCUGAUGCCUGGGCUGCACCCCAGAGCAAUUAAAUUGGAAUAUCAGAGGAGCCAACAGGAAAAAAUGCACCAGGAGGGAAAGACAGGAAAGGAGGGACAAGAGAGGAAGGGGGGCUCCACACAUCUGCAGCAGGAAAGGCUCGGAUUGCACCACCCACCCCUGCCUGCUGCACACGAGGCUGGGAGCUACCUUGGACUUUGUGGUCGUGGUCAUCCUGCAGGAUUGUGAUGGCAACUGUGUGGUUAUUUUCCAUCUCUAGGAGAGCAGCAUCAUGGCUGGCGGUGAGAUCUUCCACCUGGAGGAGAGUCGCAGUUACUGGUUAGACAGAGAGCUGCUUGGAGAACAGAAGUGGAAUUCCGUGAGUGGAAAAGGUCCGUGACCCAAAACAUCAAUGACAAGUCACAGCCUUGUGCCGAAGCAGGAGAGCUGGACUUUGGUGGUGAUGUGGCAGCCCUCGGAAUCACGGGGAGGUCACUGCCACAACCUGGCUCUUUGUAGGGGGGUCCAACUCCAGGCAGGGGAUCACUGCCUGAGGUACCUCUUUAGAGUCCUGAGUGUGGCUCCUGGACCAUCCCCUUCCCACUGCUUGUCCACGCGCUUGCACCGCUAUGAGCGAUGACGGCAAAGGAAAAGAAAAGCGUCCUCCCUACGAGGUGGUCUGUUUCCCAGUGGCAGGGGGAGCUACGGUACACAAGCACAGGUUCACAUUUAUGAAGCAGCCAAUAAGAAUUCCCAGCCUGAGAGGACCUUGGAACCAGAAGGAAUUGGAGGAGAUUUAAACAAGCUGACCCAAGGAAAGCACAAGAUCUUUCUAUGCAUUGAAGAUCACCAAAUCAAAGAUAAAAGUGCUCGACCAUUAUGGCCUAUGGCAAACUCGGGCUGGCUGAAGCAUCCUUCUCUUCCAUUUAGAACCCUGGUGAGGCCCCUUAGACCACCACUGGGCUGUCCUCCUCCCUCCUCAGAGACAGAGUUCUGGGCUGGGCCAUGGAGGUGUCUGUCAACACGGCAGUAGUCCUCGUUCUAUGGAAAACCAGCUGUUCCCUGUGACACGACUCCAUUCCCGCAGCUGCCUGCUAUUCAGCUGGGCUGACGGACAGCAGAGCACAGGGUUGGAAGACCACCCUCUCAGACAGUUUGAAAUCUCUAAAAGGCCGCCGUGUCCCGGCUUUAAAAAGAGGUGAAGCACAUCUCUCGGCACAUGCUUCUGCAUAGGUGAGGCCUCAGCGAGGCGUCCUGGCCCCUGAGUGGAGAUGCUCCCCUCAGCCGUGCCUCAGCUCCAGGGCACCAUCACGAGAGGCUUCGUUCAGGGUCUCCUGCCUGCGGACCACCUCUUACGUCUCCUCCUCACCUUCUGGUGUCGUCUCAACCAACUCAGACCUUCAGAUCAGAGGCCUUUGGUUUACCAAGAAGCUCACUGAGAGGCGACACAAACGGCCAAGAACAUGAAAAGACGGUCAGUGCCCUUGCAGAUGGAAGCAGGCAAUCAUUUUUCACCUGCAAGGCUGAUAAAGAUGAAAUGUUCUGAUAAUACAGGAAGAGUAUAAGGAAACUGUCACUCGAUGGACUCCAGGUGAAAUAUAACUAAUCCAGCUGCCUUGGAGGGAAAAGAUAUCUUUCAAAAUUGAAAUGACAGGAAUGGCAGCAUUAUGGGUGGGAGAUAAAGAAUCUGGGUUUCUUUCAGGGGUGAUGAAAAUGUUCUAAAACGGAUUGUGGUGACAGUUUUCCACAACUCGGAAUAUACUGAAAACCACCACAUUGUAUACUUAAAUGGGUGGGUUGUAUGGUAUGUGAAUUAUAUCUCAAUAAAAUUUUUACCAAAAGA